AUUGAACGCUGGCGGCGUGCCUAACACAUGCAAGUCGUACGUGAAAGUCCUUCGGGAUGAGUAAAGUGGCGCACGGGUGAGUAACACGUGGGUAAUCUACCGGGAAGUGAGGAAUAACGACUGGAAACGGUCGCUAAUACCGCAUGAGCCCCGCAAGGGGGGAAAGGAGGCCUCUGCAUAUGCUUCCGCUUUUCGAUGAGCCCGCGUCUGAUUAGAUAGUUGGUGGGGUAACGGCCUACCAAGUCGACGAUCAGUAGCCGACCUGAGAGGGUGAUCGGCCACAUUGGGACUGAGACACGGCCCAAACUCCUACGGGAGGCAGCAGUGGGGAAUAUUGGGCAAUGGGGGGAACCCUGACCCAGCAACGCCGCGUGGAGGAAGAAGGUUUUCGGAUCGUAAACUCCUGUCCUCAGGGAAGAGCAGAAGACGGUACCUGAGGAGGAAGCCCCGGCUAACUACGUG
This 462-nucleotide ribosomal RNA is filed under the name uncultured bacterium. Its description in RNAcentral is "bacterial SSU rRNA". It matches the Rfam family "Bacterial small subunit ribosomal RNA", at positions 30 to 507 of the family's 1533-position model. The record is from RNAcentral.